UACGUAGGCAGCGAGCGUUGUUCGGAUUUACUGGGCGUAAAGGGUGUGUAGGCGGUUGUUUAAGUUUGGCGUGAAAUCUCCCGGCUCAACUGGGAGGGUGCGUCGAAUACUGAAUGACUUGGAGUGCGGGAGAGGAAAGUGGAAUUCCUGGUGUAGCGGUGAAAUGCGUAGAUAUCAGGAGGAACACCGGUGGUGUAGACGGCUUUCUGGACCGUAACUGACGCCGAGACACGAAAGCGUGGGUAGCAAACAGG
Molecule: ribosomal RNA, 254 nt
Filed under: uncultured bacterium
Lineage: Bacteria
Description: partial 16S ribosomal RNA
Rfam family: Bacterial small subunit ribosomal RNA
Source: RNAcentral